AGACUUAGUAGCGACUUCCGACAAUGGU
RNAcentral lists this small RNA (28 nucleotides) under Bombyx mori (domestic silkworm). Its description in RNAcentral is "ovarian small RNA-11906". The record is from RNAcentral. Lineage: Eukaryota; Metazoa; Arthropoda; Insecta; Lepidoptera; Bombycidae.